RNAcentral lists this ribosomal RNA (253 nucleotides) under uncultured bacterium. RNAcentral's name for it is "partial 16S ribosomal RNA". It matches the Rfam family "Bacterial small subunit ribosomal RNA", at positions 524 to 776 of the family's 1533-position model. The record is from RNAcentral.
UACGUAGGGUGCGAGCGUUAAUCGGAAUUACUGGGCGUAAAGCGUGCGCAGGCGGUGAUGUAAGGCCGAUGUGAAAUCCCCGGGCUCAACCUGGGAAUGGCAUUUGGGACUGCAAGGCUGGAGUGCGGCAGAGGAGACUGGAAUUCCUGGUGUAGCAGUGAAAUGCGUAGAUAUCAGGAGGAAUACCGAUGGCGAAGGCAGGUCUCUGGGCUGACACUGACGCUCAUGCACGAAAGCGUGGGGAGCAAACAGG